CACGUAGGGCGCGAGCGUUGUCCGGAAUUAUUGGGCGUAAAGAGCUCGUAGGCGGCCUGUUGCGUCCGCUGUGAAAGCCCGGGGCUUAACCCCGGGUCGGCAGUGGAUACGGGCAGGCUAGAGGUAGGUAGGGGAGAAUGGAAUUCCCGGUGUAGCGGUGAAAUGCGCAGAUAUCGGGAGGAACACCGGUGGCGAAGGCGGGUCUCUGGGCCGAUAUUGACGCUGAGGAGCGAAAGCGUGGGGAGCAAACAGG
RNAcentral lists this ribosomal RNA (253 nucleotides) under uncultured bacterium. RNAcentral's name for it is "partial 16S ribosomal RNA". It matches the Rfam family "Bacterial small subunit ribosomal RNA", at positions 524 to 776 of the family's 1533-position model. The record is from RNAcentral.